This 1403-nucleotide ribosomal RNA is filed under the name uncultured bacterium. RNAcentral's name for it is "16S ribosomal RNA". It matches the Rfam family "Bacterial small subunit ribosomal RNA". The record is from RNAcentral.
UUCGCCCUUAGAGUUUGAUCCUGGCUCAGGACGAACUCUGGCGGCGUGCCUAACACAUGCAAGUCGAACGGAGUUAAUUUAAAUGAAGUUUUCGGAUGGAAUUUGAGUUAACUUAGUGGCGGACGGGUGAGUAACGCGUGAGUAACCUGCCCAUAAGAGGGGGAUAACGUUCUGAAAAGAACGCUAAUACCGCAUGAUAUAUCGGAACCGCAUGGUUCUGAUAUCAAAGGAGCAAUCCGCUUAUGGAUGGACUCGCGUCCGAUUAGCUAGUUGGUGAGGUAACGGCUCACCAAGGCGACGAUCGGUAGCCGGACUGAGAGGUUGAACGGCCACAUUGGGACUGAGACACGGCCCAGACUCCUACGGGAGGCAGCAGUGGGGGAUAUUGCGCAAUGGGGGAAACCCUGACGCAGCAACGCCGCGUGAAGGAUGAAGGUCUUCGGAUUGUAAACUUCUUUUGUUAAGGACGAAUAAAGUGACGGUACUUAACGAAUAAGCUCCGGCUAACUACGUGCCAGCAGCCGCGGUAAUACGUAGGGAGCGAGCGUUGUCCGGAUUUACUGGGUGUAAAGGGUGCGUAGGCGGCUAGGCAAGUCAGAUGUGAAAUGUAUGGGCUCAACCCAUGAACUGCAUUUGAAACUGCUUAGCUUGAGUGAAGUAGAGGUAGGCGGAAUUCCCUGUGUAGCGGUGAAAUGCGUAGAGAUAGGGAGGAACACCAGUGGCGAAGGCGGCCUACUGGGCUUUAACUGACGCUGAGGCACGAAAGCGUGGGUAGCAAACAGGAUUAGAUACCCUGGUAGUCCACGCCGUAAACGAUGAUUACUAGGUGGGGGGGGGUCUGCCCCCCCUCCGUGCCGGCAGUUACCACAAUAAGUAAUCCACUUGGGGAGUACGGCCGCAAGGGUUGAAACUCAAAGGAAUUGACGGGGGCCCGCACAAGCAGUGGAGUAUGUGGUUUAAUUCGAAGCAACGCGAAGAACCUUACCAGGUCUUGACAUCCCGAUGACCGCCCUAGAGAUAGGGUUUCUCUUCGGAGCAUUGGAGACAGGUGGUGCAUGGUUGUCGUCAGCUCGUGUCGUGAGAUGUUGGGUUAAGUCCCGCAACGAGCGCAACCCUUGCUAUUAGUUGCUACGCAAGAGCACUCUAAUAGGACUGCCGUUGACAAAACGGAGGAAGGUGGGGACGACGUCAAAUCAUCAUGCCCCUUAUGACCUGGGCUACACACGUACUACAAUGGCCAUUAACAGAGGGAAGCAAUACUGCGAAGUGGAGCAAAUCCCUAAAAAUGGUCCCAGUUCAGAUUGUAGGCUGCAACUCGCCUACAUGAAGGUGGAAUUGCUAGUAAUCGCAGAUCAGAAUGCUGCGGUGAAUACGUUCCCGGGCCUUGCACAAACCGCCCGUCA